AUCUCAUGGUGAGGAUAUUGUCUAAUCAACUCCUUGAAUCUUUCCCAUGCAUCAAACAGGGACUCGUCCUCUCCUCGUCUGAAUGAAAUGAUUUCAUUUCUCAUCUU
Lathyrus oleraceus (garden pea) is the source of this 107-nucleotide small nucleolar RNA. The record is from RefSeq and is a predicted model, not a curated record. Lineage: Eukaryota; Viridiplantae; Streptophyta; Magnoliopsida; Fabales; Fabaceae.